GCUAAGGGACAAGGGAAGUUAGAGUUGAUGCCUUGUGAUGUGGUGAAAAUAUCCCGAAUCUUGGAUCGAGAGGCCUGAGUUCAUUUCACAGCUUGUGCAGAAAGCAAUGAUCAUUGCCAAAGCCGUGUUGCCCGUGGACAGGGUGAUGUUUGACUUCCUUGUACAGCUGCAAUUUGAAUGGUGAAGGCGC
Molecule: non-coding RNA, 190 nt
Organism: Chiloscyllium plagiosum (whitespotted bambooshark)
Lineage: Eukaryota; Metazoa; Chordata; Chondrichthyes; Orectolobiformes; Hemiscylliidae
Source: RefSeq, a predicted model, not a curated record